AGCGAACGCUGGCGGCAGGCUUAACACAUGCAAGUCGAACGGGCACUUCGGUGUCAGUGGCAGACGGGUGAGUAACGCGUGGGAACAUACCUCUUGGUUCGGAACAACACAGGGAAACUUGUGCUAAUACCGGAUAAGCCCUUACGGGAAGAUUUAUCGCCGAGAGAUUGGCCCGGCGUCUGAUUAGCUAGUUGGUGUGGUAAAAGACGCACCAAGGCGACGAUCAGUAGCUGGUCNGAGAGGAUGAUCAGCCACACUGGGACUGAGACACGGCCCAGACUCCUACGGGAGGCAGCAGUGGGGAAUAUUGCACAAUGGCGAAAGACCUGAUGCAGCGACGCCGCGUGAGGGAUGACUGCCUUCGGGUUGUAAACCU
This 376-nucleotide ribosomal RNA is filed under the name uncultured bacterium. Its description in RNAcentral is "bacterial SSU rRNA". It matches the Rfam family "Bacterial small subunit ribosomal RNA", at positions 29 to 432 of the family's 1533-position model. The record is from RNAcentral.